Molecule: ribosomal RNA, 634 nt
Filed under: Serratia marcescens
Lineage: Bacteria; Pseudomonadati; Pseudomonadota; Gammaproteobacteria; Enterobacterales; Yersiniaceae
Description: bacterial SSU rRNA
Rfam family: Bacterial small subunit ribosomal RNA
Source: RNAcentral
CUAACGCGUUAAAUCGACCGCCUGGGGAGUACGGCCGCAAGGUUAAAACUCAAAUGAAUUGACGGGGGCCCGCACAAGCGGUGGAGCAUGUGGUUUAAUUCGAUGCAACGCGAAGAACCUUACCUACUCUUGACAUCCAGAGAACUUACCAGAGAUGCAUUGGUGCCUUCGGGAACUCUGAGACAGGUGCUGCAUGGCUGUCGUCAGCUCGUGUUGUGAAAUGUUGGGUUAAGUCCCGCAACGAGCGCAACCCUUAUCCUUUGUUGCCAGCGGUUCGGCCGGGAACUCAAAGGAGACUGCCAGUGAUAAACUGGAGGAAGGUGGGGAUGACGUCAAGUCAUCAUGGCCCUUACGAGUAGGGCUACACACGUGCUACAAUGGCAUAUACAAAGAGAAGCGACCUCGCGAGAGCAAGCGGACCUCAUAAAGUAUGUCGUAGUCCGGAUUGGAGUCUGCAACUCGACUCCAUGAAGUCGGAAUCGCUAGUAAUCGUAGAUCAGAAUGCUACGGUGAAUACGUUCCCGGGCCUUGUACACACCGCCCGUCACACCAUGGGAGUGGGUUGCAAAAGAAGUAGGUAGCUUAACCUUCGGGAGGGCGCUUACCACUUUGUGAUUCAUGACUGGGGUGAAGU